Molecule: unclassified non-coding RNA, 213 nt
Filed under: Hevea brasiliensis (rubber tree)
Lineage: Eukaryota; Viridiplantae; Streptophyta; Magnoliopsida; Malpighiales; Euphorbiaceae
Source: RNAcentral
GUUCACGGUUUGAUAAAUUAGCUUCAAAUGUGUACACUUGAUCCUUAGCAGCACGGAACUGCUCUAGUAUUUGGGAAAUUCGAAUCCGAGCAGCUUCAGCAACAUUAGGGUUUUCUUGUUGCUCUGUUUUCUUUUGUCUCUUCUUUCCCAUUUUUCGUGUUUUUCAGGUUGCUUUCGGUGCCUCACACAAGAGGUAUAUCGGCAGGUCUCGAC